Long non-coding RNA from Episyrphus balteatus (marmalade hoverfly), 815 nucleotides. RefSeq lists it as uncharacterized. The transcript has 2 exons. The record is from RefSeq and is a predicted model, not a curated record. NCBI's taxonomy places the organism in Eukaryota, Metazoa, Arthropoda, Insecta, Diptera, Syrphidae.
AGUCAAGAUACAUACCUACAACUUCUUUAACAUAGUGAAAAAAGAUUAAUGCUGAUGUUUAAAGACACAAUUUUUCGAAGGAAAUUUGUCCAUUUGCUCGAAUAAGCAAUAGGUGGAUGGGAACGUAAAACAACAAUUCGUAGGCGUAUUAAAGUUGACUUUAACCUAAAGGAUGUCAAAAAGUAUGCAGCGCCACGUCUCAAGGAUUAUUGUUAUCCUCAUCAUCAAGCUCAUAUUUUAUUUAAGGAAUUUUUUAUUUUGUAUUGUGUCUAUCCAAGUGAACAGUACCCAAGUGAAAAGAUUAAAAGUCAUACCAUCCUAGCUUUAAUAAGGUAUUCAACCACAACCUACCAGGUCUUGUAAAUUGGUUUGCUCAUACGCAAACUAGUCAAGCUAUGCAUGUAAUAGACAUACCAAUUGAAAUUGAAAAUAAAUGGUUACACAUCACACUCUCAAAUUACAGUGUGGCAGUGGCGCAAAGAAAGAAGAAGGAUCAAAGAGAAAACUUUUUCGUCAAUAUUGGUGAGAAUUAAAAUUAGAAUGAAUGGAAAUAAAACACAUAUUAUAUACCUAGAAAUAAACAUAUUAUCAUCUUCUUUAAAACCUUAUACGUUAUCGCGUUCUCACGGAUAAUGUCAUGUGGACGAUUUUGGUGUGGUCGGAAUCGGAAACCAAUCUCAUAGCGAAAAAGACAUGAAUAAUUAGUUAUACAGGUGGGACGAUAUAAAUUUGAGACGAAUUCAGAGAGAAUAAGAUGCGGGAUAAAAAUCGAUGAUGUUAAUAAAUGAAAUAAAAUUUGCAUAUUUUAAACUUAA